Molecule: non-coding RNA, 47 nt
Organism: Drosophila ananassae
Lineage: Eukaryota; Metazoa; Arthropoda; Insecta; Diptera; Drosophilidae
Source: Rfam
AAAAAGGCCCCUUUUUAGGGCCACAACAUUCUUUUUAUCAAAAAACA